This 946-nucleotide ribosomal RNA is filed under the name Flavobacterium sp. Its description in RNAcentral is "bacterial SSU rRNA". It matches the Rfam family "Bacterial small subunit ribosomal RNA", at positions 56 to 1007 of the family's 1533-position model. The record is from RNAcentral. Lineage: Bacteria; Pseudomonadati; Bacteroidota; Flavobacteriia; Flavobacteriales; Flavobacteriaceae.
UGCAAGUCGAGGGGUAGAGGCCUUCGGGCCUUGAGACCGGCGCACGGGUGCGUAACGCGUAUGCAAUCUGCCUUCCACAGAGGGAUAGCCCAGAGAAAUUUGGAUUAAUACCUCAUAGCAUCAUGACCCGGCAUCGGGAUAUGAUUAAAGUCACAACGGUGGAAGAUGAGCAUGCGUCCCAUUAGCUAGUUGGUAAGGUAACGGCUUACCAAGGCUACAAUGGGUAGGGGUCCUGAGAGGGAGAUCCCCCACACUGGUACUGAGACACGGACCAGACUCCUACGGGAGGCAGCAGUGAGGAAUAUUGGUCAAUGGGCGCAAGCCUGAACCACCCAUGCCGCGUGCAGGAUGACGGUCCUAUGGAUUGUAAACUGCUUUUGUACGGGAAGAAACCCUCCUACGUGUAGGAGCUUGACGGUACCGUAAGAAUAAGGAUCGGCUAACUCCGUGCCAGCAGCCGCGGUAAUACGGAGGAUCCAAGCGUUAUCCGGAAUCAUUGGGUUUAGAGGGUCUGUAGGCGGUCUUGUAAGUCAGUGGUGAAAGCCCAUCGCUCAACGGUGGAACGGCCAUUGAUACUGCUGGACUUGAAUUAUUGGGAAGCAACUAGAAUAUGUAGUGUAGCGGUGAAAUGCUUAGAGAUUACAUGGAAUACCAAUUGCGAAGGCAGGUUGCUACCAAUGGAUUGACGCUGAUGGACGAAAGCGUGGGUAGCGAACAGGAUUAGAUACCCUGGUAGUCCACGCCGUACACGAUGGAUACUAGCUGUUGGGCGCAAGUUCAGUGGCUAAGCGAAAGUGAUAAGUAUCCCACCUGGGGAGUACGAACGCAAGUUUGAAACUCAAAGGAAUUGACGGGGGCCCGCACAAGCGGUGGAGCAUGUGGUUUAAUUCGAUGAUACGCGAGGAACCUUACCAAGGCUUAAAUGCAGACUGACCGGUUUGGAAAC